RNAcentral lists this ribosomal RNA (443 nucleotides) under uncultured bacterium. Its description in RNAcentral is "partial 16S ribosomal RNA". It matches the Rfam family "Bacterial small subunit ribosomal RNA", at positions 338 to 795 of the family's 1533-position model. The record is from RNAcentral.
CCUACGGGGUGCAGCAGUGAGGAAUAUUGGGCAAUGGAGGAAACUCUGACCCAGCAACGCCGCGUGAAUGAUGAAGGUCCUCGGAUCGUAAAGCUCUAUUCGAAGGGAAGAAGAUAGUGAUGGUACCUUAGGAAUAAGCCUCGGCUAACUACGUGCCAGCAGCCGUGGUAAUACGUAGGAGGCAAGCGUUAUCCGGAAGGACUGGGCGUAAAGGGGGCGUAGGUGGUUUGAUAAGUUGGUAGCGUAACUCCGGGGCUCAACCUCGGCACUACUACCAAAACUGUCGGGCUUGAGUGCAGGAGGGGCAACUGGAAUUCCUAGUGUAGCGGUGGAAUGCGUAGAUAUUAGGAGGAACACCGGUGGCGAAGGCGAGUUGCUGGACUGUAACUGACACUGAGGCACGAAAGCGUGGGGAGCAAACAGGAUUAGAUACCCCUGUAGUC